AAACCAACCGGGAUUGCCUUAGUAACGGCGAGUGAAGCGGCAAAAGCUCAAAUUUGAAAUCUGGUACCUUCGGUGCCCGAGUUGUAAUUUGGAGAGGGCAACUUUGGGGCCGUUCCUUGUCUAUGUUCCUUGGAACAGGACGUCAUAGAGGGUGAGAAUCCCGUGUGGCGAGGAGUGCGGUUCUUUGUAAAGUGCCUUCGAAGAGUCGAGUUGUUUGGGAAUGCAGCUCUAAGUGGGUGGUAAAUUCCAUCUAAAGCUAAAUAUUGGCGAGAGACCGAUAGCGAACAAGUACAGUGAUGGAAAGAUGAAAAGAACUUUGAAAAGAGAGUGAAAAAGUACGUGAAAUUGUUGAAAGGGAAGGGCAUUUGAUCAGACAUGGUGUUUUGUGCCCUCUGCUCCUUGUGGGUAGGGGAAUCUCGCAUUUCACUGGGCCAGCAUCAGUUUUGGUGGCAGGAUAAAUCCAUAGGAAUGUAGCUUGCCUCGGUAAGUAUUAUAGCCUGUGGGAAUACUGCCAGCUGGGACUGAGGACUGCGACGUAAGUCAAGGAUGCUGGCAUAAUGGUUAUAUGCCGCCCGUCUU
Molecule: ribosomal RNA, 579 nt
Filed under: Saccharomyces cerevisiae (brewer's yeast)
Lineage: Eukaryota; Fungi; Ascomycota; Saccharomycetes; Saccharomycetales; Saccharomycetaceae
Description: eukaryotic LSU rRNA
Rfam family: Eukaryotic large subunit ribosomal RNA
Source: RNAcentral